UACGUAGGCAGCGAGCGUUGUUCGGAGUUACUGGGCGUAAAGCGUGCGUAGGCGGUGUCUUAAGUUUGUUGUGAAAUCUCCCGGCUUAACCGGGAGGGUGCGGCGAAUACUGAGAUGCUGGAGUGCCGGAGAGGUAAGCGGAAUUCCUGGUGUAGCGGUGAAAUGCGUAGAUAUCAGGGGGAACACCUGCGGUGUAGACGGCUUACUGGACGGUAACUGACGCUGAGGCACGAAAGCGUGGGUAGCAAACGGG
RNAcentral lists this ribosomal RNA (253 nucleotides) under uncultured bacterium. RNAcentral's name for it is "partial 16S ribosomal RNA". It matches the Rfam family "Bacterial small subunit ribosomal RNA", at positions 524 to 776 of the family's 1533-position model. The record is from RNAcentral.